GUUUUCCCACUACACAGGAAGGGGCUGGGGGAGAGAGAUAUUUUUGCAGUGUGGUCAUGUGAAAGGCAAAUUUCACGUGGAUUUUCAUGCAGACCUAUAAAUCAGUCCAUGUUCACUCUAAAAGUUCACGGUCCUUAGCAAACCUCUCAGUGAACUGGGGCUGAGCUUAGAGAUUGUAAAGAAACCUGAAACCAAGCAAGUUUCAACUAAUUUCAUAUUUUGCCGUGAACAUUUUGCUCAGGUCUAACUUGUUUGCUUAGGAGUUUAGGCAAGUACAACCGUGUCCUUUGGGAGAAAAAAAAUGCUCGGAGAAAUCAAAUACACCACACAAAAAGGUUACAUCUCCAGCUUUCUGUGUGUGAUAGCAAUAUACAAAUGCAAUUAAGGAUUUCCAAAGAGUAUACUGGCAGGGCUGCAUGCAAACUGGUCAUGAAGGUGACCAACUGACUUGAGGAAAG
Long non-coding RNA from Gallus gallus (chicken), 458 nucleotides. The record is from Ensembl. Lineage: Eukaryota; Metazoa; Chordata; Aves; Galliformes; Phasianidae.